ACCGGCAGCGGUCAGAACACGAUUGGCGCGUGCAAAGAGGUGAAUCCGGAAGAGCGCGGCAACAAGCGAGCGGAAAGUUUUCGUUUAAAUAACACGGAAUACGUUCCUAAUACGACUGUACUGUUGGUAACUCCUGAGGAAGAAACUAUGGGAGCCUCAAUGCAGCAGGACUAAAGAUACAAGAGGACUUGAAUUGAAUCAAAGUCAUGAUUUCUUAUUUUCUACAUGUUUAACGUCAGCCUUCAGAAAAGAAUCUGAACACAAUAAAGUUCAUGUCCUGAAUAGACGAAGAGCUGACACAUCUACUGGAAAAGCUCACAAACUGUUAAAUUAACCUGGUAAAAGAACCGGUCUUCUGAUAAAUGGCCUUUAAUAUAAGACGAAGAAAAAGCAAGGAACAUCCACUGAUCUUCUUUUCUGAUCUGGAAACCCAUACACCUGCAAUUGUGCACCAGUCUUAUAACACAGAACCCAGAUCCGUUGGACAUGCACUUCGUAAAACAGGAGACCAUAUUGAGAUAAAGAAAGUGGACGUAAAAAAAACUAGACUUCUACUAUCUGCUGCUGCAGGUGUAGGACUAGUCUUCAUACUUGCAUCUGGACUAAAUGGAGGUUAUCCUUUUAAUGCAGAAUUCACCUUAACAGGUAUUAAUUCUGUAGGUGUUUUUAUGACAUACUGUAAAAAUAAUAUAUUUUUCAAAGACAAGUUAAACAAAUGACAAAUGAAUUUCUGUUGACCUUGAUGACCUAUGAAAAAUAUGAGAGAUUUGUAAAUCACUGUCACAACAUUCAAGUAAGGAUAAACAACAAAACUGGCAUCUAGUAAAAUCACUUGAUGUCUCUUUUUGCUGAAUUGUUGAAGGUGACGAACAGAUCAUAAUUAUUAUAAAUUAUAAUGUGGCUCUAGAUAUAUUUAUAAAAAUCCACAAGCAACUAAGAACCUUGGAGCAGACAGUAACAGACUGGACAAAGUGUCCAAUGUGGUGCCAGGUAUUUGGUUGGACCAAUGGGGUAGGCCCCGCUCCGCUCGUGUGGGGGUGGUGGACUGGGGGUGGGCCCCACUCUGGGCGCCGGGGCAUCUCCUGUCAGGCUCCCUACGGACCGUGGGUCCUCGGGCUCUACUCUUUCAGGCCGACCCUCCCGCCGGGGGGAGUGUUUGCCCCUGGUUCUCAUGGGGCGGACAGCGUUGACCCCCGGUGGCCCACUCUGACCUCGGGUGCUGUCUCUGUGGCUGCUGCAGCUCUGCCUGGGGGGCUCUGUGUGGGCGGCUUGGGUCGCAGCACCUGCCCUCCUGAACUGAAGGUGUGUGGGCUCCCUGGCUGCUGGGAUUCCUUCCUCUGCUUGCUGGAUGGGCGUAGUGGCGGAGCCCCUCACAUCACCCUGGCUUUCACAAGUGGCAUAGUUCAUGCACCAACGUCUGCCUCACCUUUGGGUGAAUAAUAUCAAGCUACAGCCUUACUAACCUUGUAGUGGGAGAUUCAACACCUUAGCUGAUAAACAGGCUUUAAACCCAACUGUAAGUAUUACUGGUACUUAUCACCACAAACAUCAAUAAUGUGUGAAUAUGGUAGCUGUGAUGUUGUAUGUCAUGGCUAUUAUAACGUAUUAUGAGAUUAUGUAUAACAAUGCAUAUGUGUAUGUAUAUGAUAUAUGUAUAUGUUUGUAUGAGUGUGUGUGCACAUACAUUAACAUUAUUAUUGGUAUUAGUAUUAAUCUCCAAGGUAAACCACAGUACAGCAGUUGUUUAGUUAUGAAUGUGUUAGCCUAAGGUUCAUCCCAGCUUAUGUAUUUUGCACCGAUUGCUUAACUGAUUUGCUUACACAUGGUUGUCAUGGUGCUGAAAUUAUAACAGCUACAACAAGAAUAAAUGUGUAAAUAAUCAAACUCUGUUAUAAUAAAUAAAGCUAUUUUCACUAACUGUGUUGUAAUCAUUAACAAGGUUUAAACCUUACUCUGGUUCUCAACAGCUUAAACAGAAAGUAGACUUUGUGUUUAAUGUUGCUGCACCUUUCCUUUUUUCUUUCUAGUUCUUUAAAAUAAAAAAGCUGUAAACCUCAA
This is a long non-coding RNA of Betta splendens (Siamese fighting fish), 2058 nucleotides long. RefSeq lists it as uncharacterized. Lineage: Eukaryota; Metazoa; Chordata; Actinopteri; Anabantiformes; Osphronemidae. The record is from RefSeq and is a predicted model, not a curated record. The transcript is spliced from 2 exons.